Molecule: ribosomal RNA, 654 nt
Filed under: uncultured archaeon
Lineage: Archaea
Description: bacterial SSU rRNA
Rfam family: Archaeal small subunit ribosomal RNA
Source: RNAcentral
GCCUAAAGCGUCCGUAGCCGGCUCUGUUAGUUUUCGGUUAAAUCCAUAUGCUCAACAUAUGGGCCGCCGGGAAUACUGCAAAGCUAGGGAGUGGGAGAGGUAGACGGUACUCCGUAGGAAGGGGUAAAAUCCUUUGAUCUAUGGAUGACCACCAGUGGCGAAGGCGGUCUACCAGAACACGUUCGACGGUGAGGGAUGAAAGCUGGGGGAGCAAACCGGAUUAGAUACCCGGGUAGUCCCAGCUGUAAACUAUGCAAACUCAGUGAUGCAUUGGCUUGUGGUCAGUGCAGUGCCGCAGAGAAGUCGUUAAGUUUGCCGCCUGGGAAGUACGUACGCAAGUAUGAAACUUAAAGGAAUUGGCGGGGGAGCACCACAAGGGGUGAAGCCUGCGGUUCAAUUGGAGUCAACGCCAGAAAUCUUACCCGGAGAGACAGCAGGAUGAAGGUCAAGUUGAAGCCUUUACCAGACAAGCUGAGAAGUGGUGCAUGGCCGUCGCCAGCUCGUGCCGUGAGGUGUCCUGUUAAGUCAGGUAACGAGCGAGAUCCUUGCCUCUAGUUGCCACCAUUACUCUCAGGAGUAGUGGGGCGAAUUAGCGGGACUGCCGUAGUUAAUACGGAGGAAGGAGAGGGCCACGGCAGGUCAGUAUGCCCCGAA